UGAGCACUUGCACAGGUCCUCCCCCAAGCAGUGUGGCCAGGAUUUGGUAGCUGGUGCUAAGAGAAAACUCUUGUUUACAUUCUUGCCCUGGGAUUGUACCAGUGGCAGCUGUCACUCAAUGGGACAGAG
Cynocephalus volans (Philippine flying lemur) is the source of this 129-nucleotide small nucleolar RNA. RefSeq annotates it as small nucleolar RNA SNORA30/SNORA37 family. The transcript has a single exon. The record is from RefSeq and is a predicted model, not a curated record. Lineage: Eukaryota; Metazoa; Chordata; Mammalia; Dermoptera; Cynocephalidae.